CCCGCCGGACCUGACUGCUAUCGGAUUGAUACUAAGCCAUGCGAGUCAUUGUAGCAAUACAAGGCAUACGGCUCAGUAACGCGUAGUCAACCUAACCUAUGGACGGGAAUAACCUCGGGAAACUGAGAAUAAUGCCCGAUAGAACAUUAUGCCUGGAAUGGUUUAUGUUCCAAAUGAUUUAUCGCCGUAGGAUGGGACUGCGGCCUAUCAGUUUGUUGGUGAGGUAAUGGCCCACCAAGACUAUUACAGGUACGGGCUCUGAGAGGAGUAGCCCGGAGAUGGGUACUGAGACACGGACCCAGGCCCUAUGGGGCGCAGCAGGCGAGAAAACUUUGCAAUGUGCGAAAGCACGACAAGGUUAAUCCGAGUGAUUUGUGCUAAACAAAUCUUUUGUUAGUCCUAGAAACACUAACGAAUAAGGGGUGGGCAAGUUCUGGUGUCAGCCGCCGCGGUAAAACCAGCACCUCAAGUGGUCAGGAUGAUUAUUGGGCCUAAAGCAUCCGUAGCCGGCUCUGUAAGUUUUCGGUUAAAUCUGUACGCUCAACGUACAGGCUGCCGGGAAUACUGCAAAGCUAGGGAGUGGGAGAAGUAGACGGUACUCGGUAGGAAGUGGUAAAAUGCUUUGAUCUAUCGAUGACCACCUGUGGCGAAGGCGGUCUACUAGAACACGUCCGACGGUGAGGGAUGAAAGCUGGGGGAGCAAACCGGAUUAGAUACCCGGGUAGUCCCAGCUGUAAACUAUGCAAACUCAGUGAUGCAUUGGCUUGUGGCCAAUGCAGUGCUGCAGGGAAGCCGUUAAGUUUGCCGCCUGGGAAGUACGUACGCAAGUAUGAAACUUAAAGGAAUUGGCGGGGGAGCACCACAAGGGGUG
This 871-nucleotide ribosomal RNA is filed under the name uncultured archaeon. RNAcentral's name for it is "bacterial SSU rRNA". It matches the Rfam family "Archaeal small subunit ribosomal RNA", at positions 13 to 890 of the family's 1478-position model. The record is from RNAcentral.